CCUACGGGAGGCAGCAGUGAGGAAUAUUGGUCAAUGGGCGCAAGCCUGAACCAGCCAAGCCGCGUGCAGGAUGACUGCCCUAUGGGUUGUAAACUGCUUUUAUAAGGGAGUAAAGUCAGGUACGCGUACCUGUCUGUAAGUACUUUAUGAAUACGGAUCGGCUAACUCCGUGCCAGCAGCCGCGGUAAUACGGAGGAUCCGAGCGUUAUCCGGAUUUAUUGGGUUUAAAGGGAGCGUAGGCGGUCGGAUGAGUUAGAGGUGAAAUCUUGAGGCUCAACUGUGGAAUUGCCUUUGAUACUGUACGUCUAGAGAGUAGUUGAGGUAGGCGGAAUGUGUGGUGUAGCGGUGAAAUGCUUAGAGAUCAUACAGAACACCGAUUGCGAAGGCAGCUUACUAAGCUACUACUGACGUUGAGGCUCGAAAGCGUGGGGAGCAAACAGGAUGAGAUACCCGUGUAGUC
RNAcentral lists this ribosomal RNA (460 nucleotides) under uncultured bacterium. RNAcentral's name for it is "partial 16S ribosomal RNA". It matches the Rfam family "Bacterial small subunit ribosomal RNA", at positions 338 to 795 of the family's 1533-position model. The record is from RNAcentral.